Long non-coding RNA from Passer domesticus (house sparrow), 3112 nucleotides. RefSeq lists it as uncharacterized. The transcript is spliced from 4 exons. The record is from RefSeq and is a predicted model, not a curated record. Lineage: Eukaryota; Metazoa; Chordata; Aves; Passeriformes; Passeridae.
UAGAAUUCCAAUCAACAUUCCUCAGAGCAUCCAGCUUUCUUUCACCGUCCUCUUUCUCAAAGUCAAAACACUUCUAGUACACAGCAUUCUCUCAUGAGAAUUUUGAGCUCCAUGAUAAGCUGGUAGCUUUUGGUCCAUGUACAUGAACUUAGAAGAGUACUUCUGAGGAAAGAUAAGGCACACUGCUCCCACAAUACCCAAGCUCUCUAGGUCUGUGGAAUACAAAAGGAGAGUGAAAGACCUGGACUGACUUCUCCCUCAUGACAACUUUUUUUCAUUCAGUGCAUGAAUGCAUCUCUACAUCAGCCCUUGGGUACACAGGAGAUGGUCUUCCACUACUGCAUGGACAAAAUUCAUCAGGUUCCUCAUUCUGUCACAGUCCUAGAAGCUUUAUUGAAUUGAGGUAUUCCAAGAAAUGAAGCAACCACAAAAUUGGUGUUGAAGUCACUGAGCUGACGGUGUGGAGACUAUCAAGAGACUGGUGAUGGGAAACUUCUGCACUGGCAUGAAAGGAACAUUCUCAUUCAAUCUUAAGAGAGAUAAUGGAAAACAAUGACAGUGAAAGCUGGUUUAUCUCACUCACCCUCUUUAGUGGUAAAUUUUUAAACCAAAAUAUAGAUUGUGCUAGAGAAAGGAUUUUCCAUGUAGGAAGGGUUUAUAAUAGGAUUUUACUUAUUUUAAUUAUUAUAUCAAUACUUUUACAGAAGGGUUAUUCAGUUAUAGAGUUUAAUUUAUCAGCAAACAUCUGUUUUGAGGUAUUCAUAACGUUCAUUGAACCAAAAGCUGCUUUUCUAUCAAAGUGAAAAUUUUCACAGAAAAAUGUGGCAAUGAAAUUUUUCAUGCUUUCAUGAAAAUAAAAGUGGCUUGUUUUUGUAAAAUUUGGCAUCAAAAGUUGUUAAACAACAUAUGUUUUAGAAGAAGAACUGUAAUAAUAUUAAAUCAGUUUAGUUUGGCUUUGCUAACUUUUUAAUCAACUGCCAGAGCUUUUCCUGACCCAGUCUGUUAGAAUCUCCUGAUAAUUUCUGUAGGUUGUUUAAAACUUGAAUGUAAAAUGCUUUCUGCUGCUGUAGGGCUGAUUGAGAAGGAGAAGUUUAAUCCCUCUGCUGUGUUGUUUAACUAACAGAAGUUCCAUGCCAUUAUACGUUAUUAAACCCAUAAUUUAAACCUGUGCUCCAAAAGCAUUUUGUGAAAACAUGGGUUCCCAUCAGCAUCCAGCUGCUUAAGAGCUGAGUAUCUAUUUUACAGUUAUGACUCAACAGGGUGGAAGACAAGAGCAGCACCUGUCAACACGUGUAUGCCGAAAGCUGUCCCAAAAAUACAAAAAUAGAGAUAACAGUGGAAUUAGAUAUCCACUGUGCUGAGGAGCCUAGCAACACAUAGCAAAGGUGUCUGCUCCAAAGAUUUUUCCACUAUGAUAUAAUCCAAAACCACUGCAUCACCACGAAAUAAAGAGGCUCUGCAAUGGAAGGCAGAGAUAAUAAGACCUUACAGGUCUUAUAACACAAAAUACUUACAUGCCUGGUUUCACAGGCUUAUGUUUAAAAAGUGAAAAAUACAUAAGGAACAAGGGACAUUAAAUAUGUCAGGAUCCCUACUGGCUACCUGCCUAAAUGUUAGUCAGAGUGCUUGUUAAUGCAGUCUAAAUUCAAAGAGAUGCAAAAAGCUGCUUGAAAUCAGAGUUCAAACAAAUGCAAGGCAAAAGGAUUUUCUACAGACUCCCUUUCCUUUUUCCCAGGGACUCUGGUCCUUGGGUCUGUCCAAAUUUAGAAUACAAAAAAAGCAAUAAUUUUUUUAAUUUUUUUUUUUAAUGUGUGUGUAUUUCCUGGCUUCUGUCCCUCAUGGAGCAAUUAGCUUCAUCUGUGUGCCCUGAUACAGUUUCCUAUGGCAGAUCUCCACAGCAAUCUCUGCAGUAGGUCAGACAUCUGCUGAAGUCACUUGCUUCCAUGAUUUCAUUUAACCGUUUUCUUUGCUGCAUGACAAGGACAUACAGCUGAGCACCAAGAGGACUGAGAAGCACUGAUGUUAAUUCCAUCCAGAACAAUUCUUUGUAGAGCCUCAGAGGUGAUAUUUUAAUCCUCUGAGCCUCAUUUACUAGAUAUGCCACAUGGCAAUUCCUAUUUUCAGUUUGAAGGUAGCAUUUGGGAUCAGCAGCUCUUUUAGCCUUCUGCCUUCCCCCCCUCUGUCAGCCUCCUCUGUCAGCAGCAUGUGCCCUGCUGGAUCCCCCCUAUGCUCCUGUGAAGCAUGUUGAAAGUAUCUCUGCCUGUGUGCUACAUUUCUGCUUUUCACAUCUUUUCUCUCUUUUCUUUUCUUUUUAAAUGAAAUUUUGCCUAGCCAGUGGCAGCUGUUGGAUCUUUAAUUGGCAGCGGAAUACCUCUCAAAUAACAAGACUGUGUCACAUAGAAAAUAUCAAUGUUUCCAUAAUAUUGUGACUUGGCAACCAGUAUAUUAACUUGGGAGGCUUUGUGACAUCAGGUGCUACAAAUCAUCCCUUUAAUUUUCCUUAAAAAUACAACUCAAGAAAGGAGAUUUUUUCAAUCACAAAGCUACACAUUUCAUUAGUAUUCUCAUUACAGUUCAUACCACUUAUUUAUGGAGUGCUCACGAGUGUGAUAAAUGCUAUAUGGCUCUGCAGACCUUAGGAGCAAGCUUUACAUAUAACAAGGCAAGUGAGACCUGAACAAUAGGUGAACAAGUCAAUUUCUUUUUGUAUUAAUUGGAUCUGCAAGGAAAACUGAAGAAGGGAAAAAAAUCCCUCUGCUAUUCAAGUAUCUCUAAAACUUCCACCGACUUUAAUGGCAUUAGAAUUGAGGCUUUAAAGACAGCCUUGUUCUCUUUGAGAAGCAAUGACAAUAAUUUCUCACUAAGACUCUGUAAAACCUCCUGCUUAUUUUUCCUUUCUGUACCUUUUCUAGUAAGAUCUCUGUGUCAGCUUCCCAAGUGUGCCUAGUGGGGAAAGUCUGAUUUUCACUUUCAGUGGAUUGCUGAUGCCUAACUAACAAUAAUAAAAGCAGUUUGUGUCCCUGAACCCUCUCAGGAGCGUUGCAGCCUGAAUUGGGUGUUAUGCAUUGCAGCUCGGCCUUUUGAAAGCGUCCACGGAAACAGAGCACAGAGC